This 802-nucleotide ribosomal RNA is filed under the name uncultured bacterium. Its description in RNAcentral is "bacterial SSU rRNA". It matches the Rfam family "Bacterial small subunit ribosomal RNA", at positions 8 to 841 of the family's 1533-position model. The record is from RNAcentral.
AGAGUUUGAUCCUGGCUCAGGAUGAACGCUGGCGGCGUGCCUAACACAUGCAAGUCGAGCGAUUCACUUCGGUGAAGAGCGGCGGACGGGUGAGUAACGCGUGGGUAACCUGCCUCAUACACAUGGAUAACAUACCGAAAGGUAUGCUAAUACAAGAUGAUAUAAGAGAUUCGCAUGUUUCUCUUAUCAAAGCUCCGGCGGUAUGAGAUGGACCCGCGUCUGAUUAGCUAGUUGGUAAGGUAAUGGCUUACCAAGGCGACGAUCAGUAGCCGACCUGAGAGGGUGAUCGGCCACAUUGGAACUGAGACACGGUCCAAACUCCUACGGGAGGCAGCAGUGGGGAAUAUUGCACAAUGGGCGAAAGCCUGAUGCAGCAACGCCGCGUGAGUGAUGAAGGCCUUCGGGUCGUAAAACUCUGUCCUCAAGGAAGAUAAUGACGGUACUUGAGGAGGAAGCCCCGGCUAACUACGUGCCAGCAGCCGCGGUAAUACGUAGGGGGCUAGCGUUAUCCGGAUUUACUGGGCGUAAAGGGUGCGUAGGUGGUUUCUUAAGUCAGGAGUGAAAGGCUACGGCUUAACCGUAGUAAGCUCUUGAAACUGGGAAACUUGAGUGCAGGAGAGGAAAGUGGAAUUCCUAGUGUAGCGGUGAAAUGCGUAGAUAUUAGGAGGAACACCAGUAGCGAAGGCGGCUUUCUGGACUGUAACUGACACUGCGGCACGAAAGCGUGGGGAGCAAACAGGAUUAGAUACCCUGGUAGUCCACGCCGUAAACGAUGAGUACUAGGUGUCGGGGGGUACCCCCC